GAGAGACACAGAGAGAAGAGGACCAGUGAGCCUGAAACAGUUGAUCAGAGUGAGACUGUUGUUUAAAGAUGGAUUUAAGUUCACUUCAAGCUCUGGAGAGAGAAAGAGUCCUGGAGGUUCUGCGGAGAGACAAACAGCUGCGUACUAUUGAAGAGGACAGGAUAAGGAGGAUGAAACAUGAGCUCCAGGAGCUUCGAAGGAGAGGUGCAAAGAGUUUCUCCCGGCAGUACAGCGAGCGGACCUGCGCCCGCUGCCAGAGGCCGCUGGGAAAGUUCUGGAACUCGGGCGCCAUCUGCCAUGGCUGCAGCCACCGCAUCUGCAGCAAGUGUCGUGUGGGCGUGGGAACGGCGGGCUGGAAGUGCACGGUCUGCCACGCCUACAGGGACGUGAAGUUCAGGUCUGGACAGUGGUUCUUAGAGGAGAGGGCAAAGAAAUUUCCAGUCACCACAGGCAAAUAUGAGAUGGUUGGGGAAAAAAUAUUAAAGACCUACAAUCUGAUGAGUCAUAUAUCAGUUGUGCCUCCGACUCCUCCACCCUACUUGGAAUAUCAGUGUCUGAGCAGAUCUGGGGAUUGGAAAAACUCAAAAUCUUUUACUAAAUCUAUGGAAUAUGUAAUGGCUUCCUUGUCCAGUCAUAUUAAAAAGAUUUCCACUUCUCAGAGCGAUGUGAGAGAUGACCUGCUGAGAGUUGACAACAACCGGAAAGGGUCGUGCUUCAACUACAGCACCCAGAAGAGCCUCUCUGACACUGACAUCAACAAAUCUUGCCAUCUCUUCAAAGGACCCAGUCUUCCAAACCUGUUCAAGAAAAACAGAGACAGUGACCAAGAAGGCUCAUUAACUGGAGCGGAAGAAGAAACUUCCUACGGUUCUGAGUACUCUGGAGGAAAUAGAGGCAGUAGCAGCAGCAGCAUCAACACAGACUGUGGCCUCUUCGAGGGCAUCGGCAUAGCAGGAGAGCUGAAACUGGCUCUGGCCUUCAACAACACCACCUCUUGUCUGGAGAUCACCGUCGGCGCCUGCAGAAAUCUGUCCUACGGAGACAGCAAGAGGAAGAAGUGUCAUCCAUAUGUCAAACUCUACAUGCUGCCGGGAAAGAGCGGUAAAAUGAAGACGACGGUCAAGAAAAACACGACCGAUCCCGUUUAUAAUGAAGUUUUAACGUAUCACAUAGAGCGCCACCUGCUGUUUGGCAAGAGACUGCAGGCUUCUGUGUGGCAUUCAGGGACCCUGAAAAGGAAGGUGUUUCUCGGUGAGAUCCUUAUCCCGCUGGACGGCUGGGGAUUUGAGGACAAGGACUCCCAGUGCUUCAACUGGUACCCACUUUGUCCAAAGGCUGAGAGUCCAGAGGGAGGCGCUGUGGAACAAGAGGUUGGAGAUCAGCUGGUCAGAGUCAAGUUCAGCUCCAACAACCAGGGUGUCUGACUGGGAGCAGGCAGAGAGCCCAUCCAGACGGCAGCCAUUUCUGAGGUUGAGUCGGCUCUCUGAACCCAGAGCUGUGGCCCCUGCUGCUCCUCUGAGGGACCCCUGAGGAGUGGCUCAGAUAGACCCUGGUGAACUCCUCUAUCACACCUAACAACUAUCACUCUGUCUUCUCCAGGGUCACCAUGGCAACUAGUUUUGGACACCCCAACAGGUGUAGUGAAGUCAUCUUCCCCGUUUCUAACCAACAUCAACAUCAGGAGAACAUGAUGACAUUCAACGUCUCUGCCCAACAACAGACUCAGCACCUAAACAUGUUCACACUGCAGUAUUCAUAUUGUAAGAACUGUAAGCCAUCAUUCAUUCAUUUAACAUUGCAUGCGCAUAUGUUUGUAAAGAAAUAUUUUUUAUUUAUUUAUCUAUCAAACUGAAUGACUUUAUAAUUAAAAACGUUUAAGUCUGGAACUUUAACAUCCCUCUUCUUUAACUAACAAAGUGGUUAUAAGUAUACAGAACCAUUACACCCAUCAGUACUACUAUUUUCUUUUAUUUUUGUAUUUUUGUUAUGUUUUUUUUAGUAAUAAAAAAAUUCUAGUAUAGAUAUUUUAACUCAUGCACAGGGUGAGAAUGUUAACUAGCUGAUGUUGUAGCAAGUAUAAUGUUUACCAUGUUUACUAUCUUAGUUUAGUGUGUUAACAUGCUAGCAUUUGCUAAUUUGCACUAAACACAAAGUGCAGCUGAGGCUAACGGGAAUGUGGGUAUGGGAAUUGUACAGACCCUGAACGUGACAUGAA
Anoplopoma fimbria (sablefish) is the source of this 2215-nucleotide RNA transcript. It is a transcript of the gene named synaptotagmin-like 3, with no coding region annotated. The transcript has 14 exons. NCBI's taxonomy places the organism in Eukaryota, Metazoa, Chordata, Actinopteri, Perciformes, Anoplopomatidae. The record is from RefSeq and is a predicted model, not a curated record.